UGUUGAUUCUUCCCCCAGCUGCUGCCUAAUGGAGUCCGGGCGCUGGCGUCACAGGAAAUGCCUAUACUGCCCUCCUCGCUCACUUCCGGCAGCAGGACAAGGGAGAUGACAGCAGAGCCGAGUGUGCUCCACCCUGGGAAGGCGAAGUCGUCUGUAACUGCCUUCCUUCUGGGAGGAAAAACAACUCGUGGGGGCAAGAAGUUUCAAAAGCUGAGGGGUUUGAGGGCUGAAGAGAUGGCUCAGCAGAGCACUUGUUGCUCUUGCAAAGGCCCCAAGUCUUGAUUGCCACCACCUGAAGCAUCUGUAACCCUGGAUCCAGGAGAUCCAACAGGCAUCUAUGAGAGAUUGCUUGGAGUCGUUUUAUAAUUGCUAUUCCAACCUUAUGAGACACUAACCUGGGUGAACAGUGAUGCUUGUUGAAGCACAGUGUCUGAAAGGAAGAGGAAUUCACCAGGACUGGGAAGGACACAGAGGCCAGCUCAUAGCCCAUCAUUAAAGGAAGGCUGGGCAGGAGCCUGGAGGCAGGAGCUGAGGCAGAGGCCGUGGAGGGAUGCUGCCUACUGACUUGCUCAGGUGGCUUUCUUACACUCCCAGGACCACUUGCUCUGGAGUGGCACUGUUGCCAGAAGUCUGGGCCCUUCAACAUCAGUCAUUAAACAAGAGAACACGUACCACGUUUAAAGGGACAGCAUCGUCGGGCUGAGCCUACUCUCAUUCGCUAACAGCAGCAGAGCAUUGCAGAGCUGAGCAGGACACAGCAGCUCCUGGGAGUCCUGGGGUCAGAGAGCCAACAAGACACUUCAUUCUCACAUAGAUCCUCCCACCUGCUGUCCCACCACCAUCCUCCAGGAUGUCUCACCUAUAUGAGUAUGUGGACACAUUAAUGCAUUUUUAAGAUCAUGGCCAUAGAUAGGAAGGCUUCUUUCUUUUUCUGCCCAUAGCCUAGAAACAGGGUGGCUUUGUGUGCUCACUGCCCGCUCACUGCACGUGUUCAGAGGAGGUGAAGGCAUUUGAGGCUGAGCAUCAGUGCAGGCUCCCAGGGCCAGUUCUCACCACCGCACAGGGCCAGUUCAGGCCACAGCACAGCAGAGAUGCUGUUUUUGCAGUAGCUAGGGAAAGAGGGAAAGAGAAGCCUUAGCAUCCAAAGAUGGGGUCCUCAUCCCAGAACUGCCCAGCACUGUGCUGUUUCAGAUCCUCCCUGUUUCUGAGUCUGCCCUGUCUCAGGCUCCAAUUAGCUGGCCUGGUGCUUCUUACUUACUUACUUACUUACUUACUUACUUACUUACUUACUUACCUGGCUCUCUGAUUCCUCCUUACUUGCAGCCUAUCACCUUAGGUGAUCAAACACCCCCUCCUAGCUUCCUACUGCCACUCAGAACACAACUUCUGCAGCUAUCAUGUGACCUCGAAGAUGGAAAUCACUUGCUAGAGAAGACAAGGCAGAGACCCUGAUAACUUCAAAGAGCCAACCAAAUAGUGCCUAACUCUUGGUCCUUGUAAAGUGAAGAGAGUAAAUCCUUGCAUGUAAACAGCUAGAUUUUUUUUUUUCUGUUGCAUGCAGCUGAACCUGAUUAUAACAGACAAUGCGGUAGCUGAGUGUUUUUCUGUUCUCAUCUAUACUUGCAAAAGAGCAGAAAUAACUUGACUUAUGACUGAAGUCUCUUCUGGGACCUUCCCUCUGGUGGAGUUCUGCACACACUGUAAAAUCUAUAUGUGCUAGCUUUCUUACAGUUACUGAAUUUGAAGUCUUUCUUAGGAUGGGAGCAGGGUGAAGCUGGACUUUCACUAGCUGUUUAAACUUGGAGGCAGGAUGAAGAGGGCUGAUAAGGAUUCCGAGUGGGGAGACAGGCUGCUCUUACUGCCUUUGUGAAAUGCACAUUUGGAGUCUGCAAAGCCCUGGUGAGGAGCUCAGAGAAGCAGGAUAGGACCAUGCUUUUGGUUCAGUUUCCUAGCACAUCCUGGAUGGAAAGAGGAGGUGAAGUUAGAAUCACAUGGUCUUGAUCCUGGAGCCACCCUUUAGAGUUACUGGAGCAUAACUGACAGGCAGCAAACUAUGCAUGCUUAAAGUAUAUAAGCUGACAUUUUUCCUUAUGUAUAUGGGAACAUAUCAAUAUAGCCAAUAAAGUGUUUAUAAUCAUUA
Grammomys surdaster is the source of this 2140-nucleotide long non-coding RNA. RefSeq lists it as uncharacterized. The transcript is spliced from 6 exons. Lineage: Eukaryota; Metazoa; Chordata; Mammalia; Rodentia; Muridae. The record is from RefSeq and is a predicted model, not a curated record.